RNAcentral lists this transfer RNA (67 nucleotides) under Tegillarca granosa. RNAcentral's name for it is "tRNA-Leu". The record is from RNAcentral. Lineage: Eukaryota; Metazoa; Mollusca; Bivalvia; Arcoida; Arcidae.
AGUUGAGGUGGCAGAAAAAAUGCGGCUGGUUUAGGUCCAGUUUAUGGGUCCGGAGCCCCCUCAGUUU